GUCGGGUGUUUUUUUUUUAACAUUAAGUUUUAAUCGUCUUAAAAAUAGUGUGUGUGUGUGUGUUUAAAUGAUUUUCUCAGAUAACUGUUUGGGAAAUAGCAGUUGAUUUCAUGUGAGUCCUAAGUCAUUUAUUUCAAAUUAUCCAGUACUUCCGUGGCAGAAAUUAGGCUUUGUGUCUGGGUGACUACGAGGAGGAAGAUGCCACUAACAAUAGGAAAUCAUUAAGAAGACUUCAGGGUAUUUGUUCCCUCUUUUUGUUUUGUCCAAGAUGGAGAUUGAGUAGAAGAGUUUUUUAAGAUACAUGUUGGAAAAUUUAGAUGCACCUCUAAGUUGUUUUUUUUUUUUCAUGGCUAAACAGAGAAAUGUCUUUCUGGGUUGAGAAUAAGAGGCUACUGAAUUAGAAAAAAAAAAAAGAAAGAAACUAACUCUAAGAGUUUUAAAAUGGAGCAGAACUCCAUGAGGACUAGAAGAAUCUGCUCCAAGAAUAAAGCUGCUCAGAAAAGGGAAAACCAGGGAAUGAAGAAGGAUGGGAAGUGGGGAGAGAUGGAUGCCAACCACCCAGUGAACAGAAGUCACCGUGGCAGCAGGACUGGCAGUGGAAAUCAGUUACCUUGUUGUCCUGAAUUCCUGUAUCGAGGCAAACUAUUCUACUCCUGUAGGUGCCUGUCCACUUGGUCUAAAUAUGGUUUAAAACAGUGUCAACAACAAAGGCUU
Molecule: long non-coding RNA, 714 nt
Filed under: Mustela putorius furo (domestic ferret)
Lineage: Eukaryota; Metazoa; Chordata; Mammalia; Carnivora; Mustelidae
Description: lncRNA (ENSMPUG00000028783.1)
Source: RNAcentral